GACGAACCGAGCGAACGUUGUUCGGAAUCACUGGGCUUAAAGGGCGCGUAGGCGGGUGCUCAAGUCCGGGGUGAAAUCCUCCAGCUCAACUGGAGAACUGCCUCGGAUACUGGGUGCCUCGAGUGUGGUAGGGGUGUGCGGAACUAUCGGUGGAGGGGUGAAAUGCGUUGAUAUCGAUAGGAACUCCGGUGGCGAAGGCGGCACACUGGACCACAACUGACGCUGAGGCGCGAAAGCCAGGGGAGCAAACGGG
This 253-nucleotide ribosomal RNA is filed under the name uncultured bacterium. RNAcentral describes it as "partial 16S ribosomal RNA". It matches the Rfam family "Bacterial small subunit ribosomal RNA", at positions 524 to 776 of the family's 1533-position model. The record is from RNAcentral.